GAUGAAGAACGUAGCGAAAUGCGAUAAGUAAUGUGAAUUGCAGAAUUCAGUGAAUCAUCGAAUCUUUGAACGCACAUUGCGCCCCUUGGUAUUCCGGGGGGCAUGCCUGUUCGAGCGUCAUUAUAACCCCUCAAGCUCAGCUUGGUGUUGGGGCCUGCCGACUGGCAGCCCUUAAAAUCAGUGGCGGCGCCAUCUGGCUCUAAGCGUAGUAAUUUCUCUCGCUAUAGAGUCCCGGUGGAUGCUUGCCAGCAACCCCCAACUUUCUAUGGUUGACCUCGGAUCAGGUAGGGAUGCCCGCUGAACUUAAGCAUAUCAAUAAGCGGAGGA
This 327-nucleotide unclassified non-coding RNA is filed under the name soil metagenome. RNAcentral's name for it is "partial contains 5.8S ribosomal RNA, internal transcribed spacer 2, and large subunit ribosomal RNA". The stretch from base 1 to 120 matches the Rfam family "5.8S ribosomal RNA", at positions 35 to 154 of the family's 154-position model. The record is from RNAcentral.